UACGGAGGGGGCUAGCGUUGUUCGGAAUUACUGGGCGUAAAGCGCACGUAGGCGGCUUUGUAAGUUAUAGGUGAAAGCCCGGGGCUCAACUCCGGAAUUGCCUUUAAGACUGCAUCGCUAGAAUUGUGGAGAGGUAAGUGGAAUUCCGAGUGUAGAGGUGAAAUUCGUAGAUAUUCGGAAGAACACCAGUGGCGAAGGCGACUUACUGGACACAUAUUGACGCUGAGGUGCGAAAGCGUGGGGAGCAAACAGG
Molecule: ribosomal RNA, 253 nt
Filed under: uncultured bacterium
Lineage: Bacteria
Description: partial 16S ribosomal RNA
Rfam family: Bacterial small subunit ribosomal RNA
Source: RNAcentral